Molecule: long non-coding RNA, 219 nt
Filed under: Mytilus galloprovincialis (Mediterranean mussel)
Lineage: Eukaryota; Metazoa; Mollusca; Bivalvia; Mytilida; Mytilidae
Source: RNAcentral
UUCCCUUUUAACGAAUGUGACCUACCGAAUUAAACUAUUUACCGGAUUUGUAAAAACAUAAGCAACACGAUGGGUACCACAUGUGGAGCAGGAUCUGCGUACCCUUCCGAAUUACCUGAGAUCACCCCACUUUUGGGUGGGGUUCGUGUUGCUUAGUAUGUAGUUAUCUAUGUUGUGUCUUCUUUACUAUUAUUUGUCUGUUGGUCCGUUAUUUUUUAG